RNAcentral lists this ribosomal RNA (555 nucleotides) under Triticum aestivum (bread wheat). RNAcentral's name for it is "partial small subunit ribosomal RNA". The record is from RNAcentral. Lineage: Eukaryota; Viridiplantae; Streptophyta; Magnoliopsida; Poales; Poaceae.
AUGGCAGAAUGCUUCAAUAAGGUGCUCAAGGGUGUACGUGCAUUACCCGUGAUGGCAAUAGUUCAAUACACAUUUCACAAGAUGAAUGGAUACUUUUUAGAGUACUCAAUGGAGACGAAUAAGCAGAUUGCUGGUGAGAACAAGGAUAAGCACAAGUACAAUUUCCCACCAAAGGUUGAAUAAUGGUUGGACUUUCAAUCACGAAAGGCAGACUCCCAAGAAGUUGUACUAUAUGACGACAGCGAGUGGAAGUAUGAGGUGAAAGAGCCUGGAGAAACCACAAAUGAUGGCCACCAAGACGGAGGCCGCGCUUUCAAGGUCUCCCUAACACGGUGUGAUUGCAGCUGCAUGAGGCCAUCGUUGCUUCAUCUCCCAUGCUCGCACUUGUUAAACGCAUCCCGUGUUAGGAAUGUGCACGUCAAUCACCCUCUUACCGUGAGGGAGUCCGAGUUCUCAAUCAUGAUGGUAAAGAAUACAUGGGCUCCCCGGUUUCAGCCAUACUUGGACCAAUCACAAUGGCCGGAGUAUCAUGGAGUUCAACUAUGGCCGGACCCG